GUGGUCUCGCUUCGGCAGCACAUAUACUAAAAUUUGAAUGAUACACAGGAGAGUAGAAGGGCCCAAGCACCAGGAUGACAUGCGAAUUCGUGAAGCGUUCCCUAUUUUU
This is a small nuclear RNA of Talpa occidentalis (Iberian mole), 109 nucleotides long. NCBI's taxonomy places the organism in Eukaryota, Metazoa, Chordata, Mammalia, Eulipotyphla, Talpidae. The record is from RefSeq and is a predicted model, not a curated record.